UACGUAGGUGGCAAGCGUUGUCCGGAUUUACUGGGCGUAAAGAGCGCGCAGGCGGUCGUUCAAGUCGCGUGUGAAAGCCCCCGGCUCAACUGGGGAGGGUCACGCGAUACUGAUCGACUCGAAGGCAGGAGAGGGAAGUGGAAUUCCCGGUGUAGUGGUGAAAUGCGUAGAUAUCGGGAGGAACACCCGUGGCGAAGGCGGCCUGCUGGGCCGAUCCUGACGCUGAGGCGCGAAGGCGUGGGGAGCGAACGGG
Molecule: ribosomal RNA, 253 nt
Filed under: uncultured bacterium
Lineage: Bacteria
Description: partial 16S ribosomal RNA
Rfam family: Bacterial small subunit ribosomal RNA
Source: RNAcentral